GCACCUAUAGCUCCAAUGGUAGAGCAGAGAGCUGUUAACUCUUUGGUUGGUGGUUCGAAUCCAUCUAGGUGCGCCA
Molecule: transfer RNA, 76 nt
Filed under: Bacillus anthracis (anthrax bacterium)
Lineage: Bacteria; Bacillati; Bacillota; Bacilli; Caryophanales; Bacillaceae
Also listed under: 4 other names
Description: tRNA-Asn
Rfam family: tRNA
About the family: Transfer RNA (tRNA) molecules are approximately 80 nucleotides in length. Their secondary structure includes four short double-helical elements and three loops (D, anti-codon, and T loops).
Source: RNAcentral